GUUAGGAAUAUUGGACAAUGGGCGCAAGCCUGAUCCAGCCAUGCCGCGUGAGUGAUGAAGGCCUUCGGGUUGUAAAGCUCUUUAGCCGAUGAUUAUAAUGACUGUAGUCGGAAAAUAAGCCCCGGCUAACUUCGUGCCAGCAGCCGCGGUAAUACGAAGGGGGCGAGCGUUAUUCGGAAUCACUGGGCGUAAAGCGUGCGUAGGCGGCUUUGCAAGUUGGGAGUGAAAGCCCAGGGCUCAACCCUGGAAUUGCUCUCAAAACUGCAAGGCUCGAAUUCGGGAGAGGAUAGCGGAAUUGUCAGUGUAGCAGUGAAAUGCGUAGAUAUUGACAGGAACACCAGUGGCGUAAGCGGCUAUCUGGACCGAUGUUGACGCUGAGGCACGAAAGCGUGGGGAUCAAACAGGAUUAGAUACCCUUGUAGUCC
Molecule: ribosomal RNA, 425 nt
Filed under: uncultured bacterium
Lineage: Bacteria
Description: partial 16S ribosomal RNA
Rfam family: Bacterial small subunit ribosomal RNA
Source: RNAcentral